UGGGGAAUAUUGGACAAUGGGCGAAAGCCUGAUCCAGCCAUGCCGCGUGUGUGAAGAAGGUCUUAGGAUCGUAAAGCACUUUAAGUUGGGAGGAAGGGCAGUAAAUUAAUACUUUGCUGUUUUGACGUUACCGACAGAAUAAGCACCGGCUAACUCUGUGCCAGCAGCCGCGGUAAUACAGAGGGUGCAAGCGUUAAUCGGAAUUACUGGGCGUAAAGCGCGCGUAGGUGGUUCGUUAAGUUGGAUGUGAAAUCCCCGGGCUCAACCUGGGAACUGCAUUCAAAACUGUCGAGCUAGAGUAUGGUAGAGGGUGGUGGAAUUUCCUGUGUAGCGGUGAAAUGCGUAGAUAUAGGAAGGAACACCAGUGGCGAAGGCGACCACCUGGACUGAUACUGACACUGAGGUGCGAAAGCGUGGGGAGCAAACAGGAUUAGAUACCCGAGUAGUCCCUGAGCGGGCUGGCAAGGCGCAU
This 472-nucleotide ribosomal RNA is filed under the name uncultured bacterium. Its description in RNAcentral is "bacterial SSU rRNA". It matches the Rfam family "Bacterial small subunit ribosomal RNA", at positions 355 to 825 of the family's 1533-position model. The record is from RNAcentral.